GAUGAACGCUGGCGGCGUGCCUAAUACAUGCAAGUCGAACGAAACUUCUUUAUCACCGAGUGCUUGCACUCGCCGAUAAAGAGUUGAGUGGCGAACGGGUGAGUAACACGUGGGCAACCUGCCCAAAAGAGGGGGAUAACACUUGGAAACAGGUGCUAAUACCGCAUAACCAUAGUUACCGCAUGGUAACUAUGUAAAAGGUGGCUAUACUACCGCUUUUGGAUGGGCCCGCGGCGCAUUAGCUAGUUGGUAGGGUAAAGGCUUACCAAGGCAAUGAUGCGUAGCCGAAUUGAGAGGUUGAUCGGCCACAUUGGGACUGAGACACGGCCCAAACUCCUACGGGAGGCAGCAGUAGGGAAUCUUCCACAAUGGGCGAAAGCCUGAUGGAGCAACGCCGCGUGGGUGAAGAAGGUCUUCGGAUCGUAAAACCCUGUUGUUAGAGAAGAAAGUGCGUGAGAGUAACUGUUCACGUUUCGACGGUAUCUAACCGGAAAGCCACGGCUAACUACGUG
RNAcentral lists this ribosomal RNA (512 nucleotides) under uncultured bacterium. RNAcentral describes it as "partial 16S ribosomal RNA". It matches the Rfam family "Bacterial small subunit ribosomal RNA", at positions 28 to 507 of the family's 1533-position model. The record is from RNAcentral.